RNAcentral lists this ribosomal RNA (1449 nucleotides) under uncultured bacterium. RNAcentral describes it as "16S ribosomal RNA". It matches the Rfam family "Bacterial small subunit ribosomal RNA". The record is from RNAcentral.
UUAGAGUUUGAUCCUGGCUCAGGGUGAACGCUAGCGGCGUGCCUUAAGCAUGCAAGUCGAACGAGAAGCAAUUCUAGUGGCAGACGGGUGAGUAACGCGUAGGAAUCUACCCUAAAGUGGGGAAUAACUAGCCGAAAGGUUAGCUAAUACCGCAUGUGAUAGCAAUAUUAAAGUCCUUUACUGGACGCUUUAGGAUGAGCUUACGUCCCAUCAGCUUGUUGGUAGGGUAAAGGCCUACCAAGGCUAUGACGGGUAGCUGGGCUGAGAGGUCGGCCAGCCACAAUGGCACUGAGACACGGGCCAUACAUCUACGGAUGGCAGCAACUGGGAAUCUUUGGCAAUGGACGAAAGUCUGACCAAGCGACGCCGCGUGAAGGAUGAAGGCCUUCGGGUUGUAAACUUCUUUUGCCAAAUCGUCGAGGUUUGGAGAAUAAGCACCUGCUAACUACGUGCCAGCAGCCGCGGUGAUACGUAGGGUGCAAGCGUUACCCGGAUUUAUUGGGCGUAAAGCGUGCGCAGGCGGUUUGGAAAGUCACUAUUGAAAUUUCAGGGCUCAACCCUGAGUCUGGUGGUGAUACUUUCAAGCUCAGAUUACUUGAGGGGGUACCGGAACAGUUAGUGGAGCAGUGAAAUGCGUUGAGAUUAACUGGAACACCAAAGGCGAAGGCAGGUACCUGGCAAGUCAAUGACGCUGUUGCACGAAAGCGUGGGGAGCAAAACGGAUUAGAUACCCGUGUAGUCCACGCUGUAAACUAUGGACACUAGAUAUCAGGCUGGUUGACGGCUUGGUGUCGUAAGCUAACGCGUUAAGUGUCCCGCCUGGGGAGUACGGCCGCAAGGCUAAAACUUAAAGGAAUUGGCGGGGACCCGCACAAGUAGAGGAACGUGUGGUUUAAUUCGAGACAAAACGAAGAACCUCACCAGGGUUUGAAAUGUUAGUUUUAGGAUCCUGAAAGGGAAACGAACCGCAAGGUAGCUAACACAGGUGCUGCAUGGCUGUCGUCAGCUCGUGUCGUGAGAUGUCGCCUUAAGUGGCUCAACGAGCGCAACCCUCAUCAUUAGUUGUAUCACUCUAGUGAAACCGCCCCGCGAUGUGGAUUUCUGAAUAAUUAGGAAUCUAGAUCGCGGGGAGGAAGGCGAGGACGACGUCAAGUCAUCAUAGCCCUUAUGUCCUGGGCUACACACACGUUACAAUGCAUAACACAAUGGGCUGCAAAGCCGCGAGGUGGAGCUAAUCCCCUAAAGUUAUGCUCAGUUCAGAUUGUAGUCUGCAAUUCGACUGCAUGAAGAUGGAUUUACUAGUAAUCGCAGGUCAGCAUACUGCGGUGAAUACGUUCUCGGGUCUUGUACACACCGCCCGUCAAGUAGGGAAAGUUGGGGGCACCCGAAGGGUCAAUUUAGGCACUAAGGUGAACUCAGCAAUCAAUGCUAAGUCGUAACAAGGUAACC